GGCAGCGUGGCCGAGUGGUUAAGGCGUUGGAUUUAGGCUCCAAUUUCGUAAGAUUCAUGGGUUCGAAUCCCAUCGCUGUCA
Molecule: non-coding RNA, 81 nt
Organism: Paramacrobiotus metropolitanus
Lineage: Eukaryota; Metazoa; Tardigrada; Eutardigrada; Parachela; Macrobiotidae
Source: the annotation of a RefSeq genome assembly